CCUGCGGUUCCGUCCGCAGUAGCCUAUCGACAUCGGCGUGGCUGGUAACGGCUGGGUCGAAUAGCUGUCGAGACAACCACUCUCUUUCCUUUGGAUAGGAAGAACUCCGUGAGGCGUUUUUCCGCACUGCAAGCGUCGAAGCGGUGAGAGGG
Non-coding RNA from Terriglobus saanensis SP1PR4, 152 nucleotides. The record is from Rfam. NCBI's taxonomy places the organism in Bacteria, Pseudomonadati, Acidobacteriota, Terriglobia, Terriglobales, Acidobacteriaceae.